GAAGGUGGGGAUGACGUCAAAUCAUCAUGCCCCUUAUGAUUUGGGCUACACACGUGCUACAAUGGACAAUACAAAGGGCAGCGAAACCGCGAGGUCAAGCAAAUCCCAUAAAGUUGUUCUCAGUUCGGAUUGUAGUCUGCAACUCGACUACAUGAAGCUGGAAUCGCUAGUAAUCGUAGAUCAGCAUGCUACGGUGAAUACGUUCCCGGGUCUUGUACACACCGCCCGUCACACCACGAGAGUUUGUAACACCCGAAGCCGGUGGAGUAACCUUUUAGGAGCUAGCCGUCGAAGGUGGGACAAAUGAUUGGGGUGAAGUCGUAACAAGGUAGCCGUAUCGGAAGGUGCGGCUGGAUCACCUCCUUU
This 366-nucleotide ribosomal RNA is filed under the name Staphylococcus aureus. Its description in RNAcentral is "bacterial SSU rRNA". It matches the Rfam family "Bacterial small subunit ribosomal RNA", at positions 1169 to 1533 of the family's 1533-position model. Lineage: Bacteria; Bacillati; Bacillota; Bacilli; Caryophanales; Staphylococcaceae. The record is from RNAcentral.